This 336-nucleotide ribosomal RNA is filed under the name Bathynomus giganteus. Its description in RNAcentral is "partial 12S ribosomal RNA". The record is from RNAcentral. Lineage: Eukaryota; Metazoa; Arthropoda; Malacostraca; Isopoda; Cirolanidae.
CUCUAUCUUUGGAUACUUACCUAUGGAGGUAGUAGUAGCUAUGAUCUUGAAACCUAAAGGAUUUGGCGGUAUCUGUUCAGAUCAGAGGAACCUGUUGCGUAAUCGUCGGCACUCGACUAUCUUACCUUAAGUCUGUUAGUAUACCGUCAUCUAGGCUCUCUCCGUAGAGAAUGCCACAAUAGCGCCGGCUAGAAUGUUAGAUCAAGGUGCUGCGAAUCUUAAGGGGUUAAUUGGUUACAAUUUAUCACACAGUGGAUAACAGUUGAAUAAUUGUUUAAAAAUGGAUUUGACAGUAUCAGAGGUUUAAUAACCCCCUGAGAAGCUGCUCUUAGAUAU